This 107-nucleotide ribosomal RNA is filed under the name uncultured bacterium. RNAcentral describes it as "partial 16S ribosomal RNA". It matches the Rfam family "Bacterial small subunit ribosomal RNA", at positions 338 to 442 of the family's 1533-position model. The record is from RNAcentral.
CCUACGGGGGGGCAGCAGUCGAGAAUUUUUCACAAUGGGCGAAAGCCUGACGGAGCGACGCCGCGUGGAGGAGGAAGGCCUUCGGGUUGGUAAACUCCUCGUCACCG